RNAcentral lists this ribosomal RNA (2930 nucleotides) under Staphylococcus saprophyticus. RNAcentral describes it as "23S ribosomal RNA". It matches the Rfam family "Bacterial large subunit ribosomal RNA". Lineage: Bacteria; Bacillati; Bacillota; Bacilli; Caryophanales; Staphylococcaceae. The record is from RNAcentral.
AGAUUAAGUUAUUAAGGGCGCACGGUGGAUGCCUUGGCACUAGAAGCCGACGAAGGACGUUACUAACGACGAUAUGCUUUGGGGAGCUGUAAGUAAGCUUUGAUCCAGAGAUUUCCGAAUGGGGAAACCCAGCACGAGUUAUGUCGUGUUAUCGAUAUGUGAAUACAUAGCAUAUCUGAAGGCAGACGCGGAGAACUGAAACAUCUUAGUACCCGCAGGAAGAGAAAGAAAAAUCGAUUCCCUGAGUAGCGGCGAGCGAAACGGGAAGAGCCCAAACCAAUGAGCUUGCUUGUUGGGGUUGUAGGACACUCUAUACGGAGUUACAAAAGAACAGACUAGACGAAUCAUCUGGAAAGAUGAAUCAAAGAAGGUAAUAAUCCUGUAGUCGAAAGUUUGUUCACUCUUGAGUGGAUCCUGAGUACGACGGAACACGAGAAAUUCCGUCGGAAUCUGGGAGGACCAUCUCCCAAGGCUAAAUACUCUCUAGUGACCGAUAGUGAACCAGUACCGUGAGGGAAAGGUGAAAAGUACCCCGGAAGGGGAGUGAAAUAGAACUUGAAACCGUGUGCUUACAAGUAGUCAGAGCCCGUUAAUGGGUGAUGGCGUGCCUUUUGUAGAAUGAACCGGCGAGUUACGAUUUGAUGCAAGGUUAAGCAGUGAAUGUGGAGCCGUAGCGAAAGCGAGUCUGAAUAGGGCGUUGAGUAUUUGGUCGUAGACCCGAAACCAGGUGAUCUACCCAUGACCAGGUUGAAGUUCAGGUAACACUGAAUGGAGGACCGAACCGACUUACGUUGAAAAGUGAGCGGAUGAGUUGUGGGUAGCGGAGAAAUUCCAAUCGAACCUGGAGAUAGCUGGUUCUCUCCGAAAUAGCUUUAGGGCUAGCCUCAAGUGAUGAUUAUUGGAGGUAGAGCACUGUUUGGACGAGGGGCCCUUAUCGGGUUACCGAAUUCAGACAAACUCCGAAUGCCAAUCAAUUUAACUUGGGAGUCAGAACGCGGGUGAUAAGGUCCGUGUUCGAAAGGGAAACAGCCCAGACCACCAGCUAAGGUCCCAAAAUAUAUGUUAAGUGGAAAAGGAUGUGGCGUUGCCCAGACAACUAGGAUGUUGGCUUAGAAGCAGCCAUCAUUUAAAGAGUGCGUAAUAGCUCACUAGUCGAGUGACACUGCGCCGAAAAUGUACCGGGGCUAAACAUAUUACCGAAGCUGUGGAUUGUCCGUAAGGACAAUGGUAGGAGAGCGUUCUAAGGGCGUUGAAGCAUGAUCGCAAGGACAUGUGGAGCGCUUAGAAGUGAGAAUGCCGGUGUGAGUAGCGAAAGACGGGUGAGAAUCCCGUCCACCGAUUGACUAAGGUUUCCAGAGGAAGGCUCGUCCGCUCUGGGUUAGUCGGGUCCUAAGCUGAGGCCGAUAGGCGUAGGCGAUGGAUAACAGGUUGAUAUUCCUGUACCACCAUUAUUCGUUUUAAGCGAUGGGGGGACGCAGUAGGAUAGGCGAAGCGUACGAUUGGAUUGUACGUCCAAGCAGUGAGAUUGAGUGUUAGGCAAAUCCGGCACUCUUAAGAUUGAGCUGUGAUGGGGAGAGGAAAUUGUUUCCUCGAGUCGUUGAUUUCACACUGCCAAGAAAAGCCUCUAGCUAGAAUUGUGGUGCCCGUACCGCAAACCGACACAGGUAGUCAAGAUGAGAAUUCUAAGGUGAGCGAGCGAACUCUCGUUAAGGAACUCGGCAAAAUGACCCCGUAACUUCGGGAGAAGGGGUGCUCUUUAGGGUUAACGCCCAGGAGAGCCGCAGUGAAUAGGCCCAAGCGACUGUUUAUCAAAAACACAGGUCUCUGCUAAACCGUAAGGUGAUGUAUAGGGGCUGACGCCUGCCCGGUGCUGGAAGGUUAAGAGGAGUGGUUAGCUUCUGCGAAGCUACGAAUCGAAGCCCCAGUAAACGGCGGCCGUAACUAUAACGGUCCUAAGGUAGCGAAAUUCCUUGUCGGGUAAGUUCCGACCCGCACGAAAGGCGUAACGAUUUGGGCACUGUCUCAACGAGAGACUCGGUGAAAUCAUAAUACCUGUGAAGAUGCAGGUUACCCGCGACAGGACGGAAAGACCCCGUGGAGCUUUACUGUAGUCUGAUAUUGAAAUUCGGCACAGCUUGUACAGGAUAGGUAGGAGCCUGAGAUACGUGAGCGCUAGCUUACGUGGAGGCGUUGGUGGGAUACUACCCUCGCUGUGUUGGAUUUCUAACCCGCACCAUUUAUCAUGGUGGGAGACAGUGUCAGAUGGGCAGUUUGACUGGGGCGGUCGCCUCCUAAAGAGUAACGGAGGCGCUCAAAGGUUUCCUCAGAAUGGUUGGAAAUCAUUCAUAGAGUGUAAAGGCAUAAGGAAGCUUGACUGCGAGACUUACAAGUCGAGCAGGGUCGAAAGACGGACUUAGUGAUCCGGUGGUUCCGCAUGGAAGGGCCAUCGCUCAACGGAUAAAAGCUACCCCGGGGAUAACAGGCUUAUCUCCCCCAAGAGUUCACAUCGACGGGGAGGUUUGGCACCUCGAUGUCGGCUCAUCGCAUCCUGGGGCUGUAGUCGGUCCCAAGGGUUGGGCUGUUCGCCCAUUAAAGCGGUACGCGAGCUGGGUUCAGAACGUCGUGAGACAGUUCGGUCCCUAUCCGUCGUGGGCGUAGGAAAUUUGAGAGGAGCUGUCCUUAGUACGAGAGGACCGGGAUGGACAUACCUCUGGUGUACCAGUUGUCGUGCCAACGGCAUCGCUGGGUAGCUAUGUAUGGACGGGAUAAGUGCUGAAAGCAUCUAAGCAUGAAGCCCCCCUCAAGAUGAGAUUUCCCAACUUCGGUUAUAAGAUCCCUCAAAGAUGAUGAGGUUAAUAGGUUCGAGGUGGAAGCAUAGCGAUAUGUGCAGCUGACGAAUACUAAUCGAUCGAAGACUUAAUCAAAUUUUA